GAUCAUGGCUCAGGACGAACGCUGGCGGCGUGCCUAAUACAUGCAAGUUGAACGCUGAAGACUGGUACUUGUACUAGUUGGAUGAGUAGCGAACGGGUGAGUAACGCGUGGGUAACCUACCUCUUAGCGGGGGACAACUAUUGGAAACGAUAGCUAAUACCGCAUAACAAUCACUAACACAUGUUAGUGAUUUGAAAGCACCAAUUGGUGCACUAAGAGAUGGACCCGCGUUGUAUUAG
Molecule: ribosomal RNA, 239 nt
Filed under: uncultured bacterium
Lineage: Bacteria
Description: partial 16S ribosomal RNA
Rfam family: Bacterial small subunit ribosomal RNA
Source: RNAcentral